CUUAUCAUAUUUAUUGUCUGAAAGAUUAUAUAUUGGAAACAUAAUUUUUAUUACACGUUGCAAAUAUAACACAGUUACAAAUCAAAUUUCUUCCAUCAUAAUGUUUCACGAGAAGAUUGUCAUCAAAAUUUCACAUUACAUAUGAGAAGAUGUACAAGAGAAAGUUCACUAGUUAUAAUAAUUGAUUUUGCUUUUACAUUUGCAAUGUUUAAAAACACUGUCCGAUGGAGAAAUGCAAAACAACGGUAUACUUAUUCUUAGUUGCAAAACUACAGCGGGAUAUGGGCGUUGAACUUGUCCAUUGGUUAAGAAUAGACAUUGCGUCGCAGAAUUUCUAUUCGGGAGACUUACCUGAAGAGAAAAAUAUUGAUUUUCAAUAUAAUUACGUAAGUGGCCAUUUUCCAUUUCUGAGAAGAAAUCAAUAUCGUCAUAAGAAUCAAUCAACAUCGCCAAAAAUCAAAACAAUAUAGCAAAGCUUCUGAAUUAUAUGAACACGCUCUGUUGAUUCCUUUAUAUGCAUUAUAAGCGUUAAGGAAAGAUGAGAGCCGUUGUGAGAGAGCCACCUAUGCCAGUCGACCGUUCACUUUUUCUAAAAUUGGUCACAGACAGCCGGAUCUUGCCUAAGGAAAGCAGUAAAUCGCAACGAUCCUCUCUUCUGGAAGAGAUGUGCAGGGUGGGGCACAGUACAUUGCCAGAGAAAAUAAAUAACUCAUCCAAUAUUCCUUCUAUGAUGAUGAUAUAAAUGACGACAUCAAGGAUGGAUAUCUACAAGGACAAAGGAAACUAAUUUAGGCUAAGGAUUAUUUUUUAAUAGAAUAAACACUUAUAUUAGUUGUAUAUACUUGCUUAGUAAUAUAUAGAGUGCCUAUAACGUGUAUUUCUGAGAACAAAUAAAUCACAUAUAAUUUACAAAAAGGAACUUGACGCGGCGUUUAAUAUUGCUCUUAUCGUCGGAUAAUGACAAGGUAUUUAUUAUCUAUAGGCAUACGAAUUUUUCAUUCAUUUUUUUCCUUUCUGAAGGACCAACAUUAUGAACGUGUACGUGUACACCUGCAAAAGAAACUUCAAGUUCGUCGCAUUUCCUUUUAAUUAAUUCCAAUUAAUAUAAACCUUAUUCAUUGUUCAUCGGAUAGAAUAGAAAAAGAACGUGAAGAUAAGAAUAUAUUAUUAUAUCAUCUUUUCUUUUUUUUCAAUUCUUCGUGUACCAUCGAGAAAAUUAUACACCGGGCAGUGAAAUACGUAGAAAAAUUGGCAAAAAUUUUGAAAAUUUAAUAUCGUUCCUUAUUCUUGAACAAUAUUUUUAGCCAUUAAUCUUUUACAUGUUAUUUUUUCUCUUAAACAGUGUACAAAGAAUAACGUUUCGUUAAUGCCAGAAACACGAGUAUUUCGAUGAAUUCGAUAGGAUACGUCUUCGAUCUUAAAUUUAAUCUUUCUCACCGUUUAUCUGCAAGUUUAAUACGAAGUGUCCAAAAUAUCGCAACUCCAGAGUAUUAUUAUCUACGAUAAAUUUAUUAAAGAUUUCUAUUUGCUCUAGCUGAACUUUCACGGUGUACCAAUAAUUUGUAUCGAAUACUAUUGUCUAGUUUAUGUCAAUUCAACGUAUGCCUAACAAUACGUCAAUUUUGGAAUUAUUUCAUUCCUCAACAAAUUCGUAAACACCUAAUUAUUCGAAAUAUUUUUAAAUAUUUAUUGUUCUGAGACGCACAGACGAAAGUACAGAGCCUGAGAACCAUCAAAAAUCCACGAAUUCACACGAUAGCGAGACAUUUCAUUUUUUUUUUUUUUUUCGUCGUCGAUCCUAUGACUACGAUAUAAAACGGCACGACGUCUACGUCUAAACUUUUAUCUAUGUACAAUAAACGUUUGGCGAGAUCCUCGUGAAAAGAAACGUCGAUCGAAAUCGGUCGUCGCUCGAGGUUCGCCGUAAGACUUCUAUCGCUGAUUUUUUUCAGGAUCGAUCAGCGCUAUAACUAAAAUUUACAUCUAGAUUAUUCAAGUUAUUUGCACGAGUUGUCGUUUGAAAGAUUUCCAAUAUUCAAAUAGGUUCGAGCGAAAAAUUUCCCCUCAUUUUUUUUCUUCCUCCAUUCCACUCUAAAACACGACUCUCGUUUUCGUUCUACAUUCCUGUAUGGCGACAUUAAAACUAAUCCGUUCACGUAUACCUUUUGGAAAGAGACGUUUCGAAAAAUAGCAUAAACGUCGAU
This 2204-nucleotide long non-coding RNA is filed under the name Apis florea (little honeybee). RNAcentral describes it as "uncharacterized LOC105735933, transcript variant X1". The record is from RNAcentral. Lineage: Eukaryota; Metazoa; Arthropoda; Insecta; Hymenoptera; Apidae.